CUGUGUUGGUAGGGACAUCUGAGAGUAAUGAUGAAUGCCAACCGCUCUGAUGGUGGCACAUGCCGAGUCACCCGAGUAAGCUAUUGUUAAGGGCCGUGACCCGAGCCUCCAUCAGCCGUCCGCUCUCAUGAAAGGCUGUCGGUGGUAGUCCACGUGCUUAAGUGCCUGCAUUCCGCAGUGUCACCAAUAUUUCCAUUAGUGUUUCUUUUUUCUUUUUUGAGACCGAGCCUCGUUCUGUCACCCAGGCUGGAAUGCAGUGGCUCGACAUCGGUUAAUGGCAACCUCCGCGUCCCGAGUUAAGCAGUUCUGCCUCAGCCUCCCAAGUAACUGGGACUACAGGCGCGCGCCACCAUGCUAGGCUUUUAUAUUUUUAGUAGAGACGGGGUUUCACCAUGUUGGCGAGACUGGUCUUGAACUCCUGACCUCAGGUGAUCCACCAGCCGUGGUCCCCCAACAUACUGGGAUUACAAGCCGUGAGCCACCGCGCCCGGCCGCCAUCGGUGGUUCUUAACUGCGGGUGCAGUGCUUCUUUGUAACAUUAAGUGUAUCCUUUACCUGUCGCUAGAUAAUGAAUGGUAUGUUACCUGCAUCAUUGGUUUAAAAAGACGAACCGUUUUUUUAAAGAACACUCUUUAAAAAAAAGAACCGUGGAACAAUGAAUUAAAAUCUGUACCUGAUCUCUUUAGGUAUGGUGCUGGGUGCAGAUGCAGUGUGGCUCUGGAUAGCACCUUAUGGACAGUUGUGUCCCCAAGGAAGGAUGAGAAUAGCUACUGAAGUCCUAAAGAGCAAGCCUAACUCAAGCCAUUGGCACACAGGCAUUAGACAGAAAGCUGGAAGUUGAAAUGGUGGAGUCCAACUUGCCUGGACCAGCUUAAUGGUUCUGCUCCUGGUAACGUUUUUAUCCAUGGAUGACUUGCUUGGGUAAGGACAUGAAGACAGUUCCUGUCAUACCUUUUAAAGGUAUGGAGAGUCGGCUUGACUACACUGUGUGGAGCAAGUUUUAAAGAAGCAAAGGACUCAGAAUUCAUGAUUGAAGAAAUGCAGGGUUUUUAAUGACCACAACAAGCAAGCAUGCAGCUUACUGCUUGAAAGGGUCUUGCCUCACCCAAGCUAGAGUGCAGUGGCCUUUGAAGCUUACUACAGCCUCAAACUUCUGGGCUCAAGUGAUCCUCAGCCUCCCAGUGGUCUUUGUAGACUGCCUGAUGGAGUCUCAUGGCACAAGAAGAUUAAAACAGUGUCUC
This 1241-nucleotide long non-coding RNA is filed under the name Homo sapiens (human). RNAcentral's name for it is "non-protein coding GAS5:26". The stretch from base 1 to 59 matches the Rfam family "Small nucleolar RNA SNORD74", at positions 22 to 80 of the family's 80-position model. The record is from RNAcentral. Lineage: Eukaryota; Metazoa; Chordata; Mammalia; Primates; Hominidae.